CACCGCGGUCAUACGAGUGAUAGCCCAAGUGGACAGUCAACGGCGUAAAGCGUGGUUAGAGAAUUACCCCCACUAAAGCUGAAGUAACUCCAGGCUGUCGCACGCAUCUGAGAAUAUUAAACCCGACCACGAAAGUGGCUUUAACCUAACUCGAACCCACGAAAGCUGAGGGA
This 173-nucleotide ribosomal RNA is filed under the name Myctophum affine (metallic lantern fish). RNAcentral's name for it is "partial 12S rRNA". Lineage: Eukaryota; Metazoa; Chordata; Actinopteri; Myctophiformes; Myctophidae. The record is from RNAcentral.